AUUGAACGCUGGCGGCAGGCCUAACACAUGCAAGUCGAACGGUAACAGGAAACAGCUUGCUGUUUCGCUGACGAGUGGCGGGCGGGUGAGUAAUGUCUGGGAAACUGCCUGAUGGAGGGGGAUAACUACUGGAAACGGUAGCUAAUACCGCAUAACGUCGCAAGACCAAAGAGGGGGACCUUCGGGCCUCUUGCCAUCGGAUGUGCCCAGAUGGGAUUAGCUAGUAGGUGGGGUAACGGCUCACCUAGGCGACGAUCCCUAGCUGGUCUGAGAGGAUGACCAGCCACACUGGAACUGAGACACGGUCCAGGCUCCUACGGGAGGCAGCAGUGGGGAAUAUUGCACAAUGGGCGCAAGCCUGAUGCAGCCAUGCCGCGUGUAUGAAGAAGGCCUUCGGGUUGUAAAGUACUUUCAGCGGGGAGGAAGGGAGUAAAGUUAAUACCUUUGCUCAUUGACGUUACCCGCAGAAGAAGCACCGGCUAACUCCGUG
Molecule: ribosomal RNA, 490 nt
Filed under: uncultured bacterium
Lineage: Bacteria
Description: partial 16S ribosomal RNA
Rfam family: Bacterial small subunit ribosomal RNA
Source: RNAcentral